CCCUUAGAUGUUCUGGGCCGCACGCGCGCUACACCGAUGCAUUCAACGAGUCUAAAACCUGCUCUGAUAGGGGUGGGUAAUCUUUUGAAUGUGCAUCGUGAUUGGGAUAGAUGAUUGCAAUUUUUCAUCUUCAACGAGGAAUGCCUAGUAAACGCAAGUCAUCAGCUUGCAUUGAUUACGUCCCUGCCCUUUGUACACACCGCCCGUCGCUCCUACCGAUUGAAUGAUCCGAUGAAUAUCAUGGAUUGAGGAUGCAAGUAGGUUCGCCUAUCUUCAUCUUCGAGAAGUGAAGUAAAUCUUAUCAUUUAGAGGAAGGAGAAGUCGUAACA
This 329-nucleotide ribosomal RNA is filed under the name uncultured eukaryote. Its description in RNAcentral is "partial 18S ribosomal RNA". It matches the Rfam family "Eukaryotic small subunit ribosomal RNA", at positions 1470 to 1796 of the family's 1831-position model. The record is from RNAcentral.